This 460-nucleotide ribosomal RNA is filed under the name uncultured bacterium. RNAcentral describes it as "partial 16S ribosomal RNA". It matches the Rfam family "Bacterial small subunit ribosomal RNA", at positions 338 to 795 of the family's 1533-position model. The record is from RNAcentral.
CCUACGGGAGGCAGCAGUGAGGAAUAUUGGUCAAUGGGCGAGAGCCUGAACCAGCCAAGUCGCGUGAAGGAUGAAGGAUCUAUGGUUUGUAAACUUCUUUUAUAUGGGAAUAAAGUGAGGAACGUGUUCCUUUUUGUAUGUACCAUAUGAAUAAGCAUCGGCUAACUCCGUGCCAGCAGCCGCGGUAAUACGGAGGAUGCGAGCGUUAUCCGGAUUUAUUGGGUUUAAAGGGUGCGUAGGUGGUUAAUUAAGUUAGCGGUGAAAGUUUGUGGCUCAACCAUAAAAUUGCCGUUGAAACUGGUAGACUUGAGUAUAUUUGAGGUAGGCGGAAUGCGUGGUGUAGCGGUGAAAUGCAUAGAUAUCACGCAGAACUCCGAUUGCGAAGGCAGCUUACUAAACUAUAACUGACACUGAAGCACGAAAGCGUGGGGAUCAAACAGGAUUAGAUACCCUGGUAGUC